GUAAUGCCGGAUGCUCCGACUCCUCGCAUGGGGUGUCGGGAAAGAUUUCAUCGGUAUGGGAUGGGGUCGCGUCCUAUCAGGUAGUCGGCGGGGUAACGGCCCACCGAGCCUACGACGGGUAGCCGGCCUGAGAGGGCGACCGGCCACAUUGGGACUGAGAUACGGCCCAGACUCCUACGGGAGGCAGCAGUGGGGAAUAUUGCACAAUGGGCGCAAGCCUGAUGCAGCGACGCCGCGUGCGGGAUGACGGCCUUCGGGUUGUAAACCGCUUUUGAUCGGGAGCAAGCCUUCGGGUGAGUGUACCUUUCGAAUAAGCACCGGCUAACUACGUGCCAGCAGCCGCGGUAAUACGUAGGGUGCAAGCGUUAUCCGGAAUUAUUGGGCGUAAAGGGCUCGUAGGCGGUUCGUCGCGUCCGGUGUGAAAGUCCAUCGCUUAACGGUGGAUCUGCGCCGGGUACGGGCGGGCUGGAGUGCGGUAGGGGAGACUGGAAUUCCCGGUGUAACGGUGGAAUGUGUAGAUAUCGGAA
This 527-nucleotide ribosomal RNA is filed under the name Bifidobacterium pseudocatenulatum. Its description in RNAcentral is "bacterial SSU rRNA". It matches the Rfam family "Bacterial small subunit ribosomal RNA", at positions 163 to 702 of the family's 1533-position model. Lineage: Bacteria; Bacillati; Actinomycetota; Actinomycetes; Bifidobacteriales; Bifidobacteriaceae. The record is from RNAcentral.